AAGACCUUGCGCUUUUGGAGCGGCCGAUGCCUGAUUAGCUUGUUGGUGAGGUAAAAGCUCACCAAGGCUUCGAUCAGUAGCUGGUCUGAGAGGACGACCAGCCACACUGGGACUGAGACACGGCCCAGACUCCUACGGGAGGCAGCAGUGGGGAAUUUUGGACAAUGGGGGCAACCCUGAUCCAGCCAUGCCGCGUGAGUGAAGAAGGCCUUCGGGUUGUAAAGCUCUUUCAGCCGGAACGAAACGGUCACGGCUAAUACCUGUGACUACUGACGGUACCGGAAGAAGAAGCACCGGCUAACUACGUGCCAGCAGCCGCGGUAAUACGUAGGGUGCGAGCGUUAAUCGGAAUUACUGGGCGUAAAGCGUGCGCAGGUGGUUUUGUAAGUCAGAUGUGAAAUCCCCGGGCUUAACCUGGGAACU
RNAcentral lists this ribosomal RNA (423 nucleotides) under uncultured bacterium. RNAcentral describes it as "bacterial SSU rRNA". It matches the Rfam family "Bacterial small subunit ribosomal RNA", at positions 207 to 622 of the family's 1533-position model. The record is from RNAcentral.